RNAcentral lists this long non-coding RNA (2100 nucleotides) under Linum usitatissimum (flax). Its description in RNAcentral is "long non-coding RNA (LUSI_LNC003953)". The record is from RNAcentral. Lineage: Eukaryota; Viridiplantae; Streptophyta; Magnoliopsida; Malpighiales; Linaceae.
CUAGUUCAAAAUCAGGCUUCCUUCAAUCAAAUGAAAGAAGAAAUCUUUCCCCUCUAUACCAUCAGUUCUUCCUUUUUUGGUCUGCACCUUUUAAGUUCAUCUGUUGUAUCAAAAGGAAAAAUUACACAAAAAUUAUUCUCCAGACAGAAAUCGUUCAAGAUGGUGUCCCCAACAACGUUUGCAAAUGCAGUUGAAGAUCAAUAGGUAGGAUGAGAUUCAGAUCUACCUACCGCUAUAUAUUUCCGAAUGAUGGAAACAUACUGCUCAUUAGUUCUUUGAUAAAGGACUAAUCUUUGAGUUCGGUGAGUAAUUAUUCACAGCAGACUCAACCAAUAAAGGAAGCACAAAGUGCGUGUGGAUCAAGUUAGUCAGAAAGCUAGUUUUCUGUGUUUAUUUAGCUCGUAUACUGUUAGUGAAGUAAUGAAACAUUCAGAAGUUAACUUCAGAUGAAACUUUCUUGGAACACAGGUAAGAGUAUUUAAUUCUCUUUCAGUGUUGAAAAGAGGUAAUCAAAUGGUGAAGGAAGUCACAAGCUUGAAGCAUCAUAUGGUUCACUUCUGAAUCAUUCUUUAAGGUGUAGACAACUCACUUUCAAUUUUCCAGAUAAAAAGACAAUUUAAAGAACAAGCAGCGGUUACCUGGAAUUCACAUUAAUAGCUAGAAUUGACAGGUUGAUAGCUGCCUCACUAUCGACUACAGUGCAAAUGCUUGACCGAUGAUGGCCAUCUGAAUAACAAUUUCGAACAGUCAACUUUAAAUGGGACUAAAGGCUAAAGCACAGUUAGAAGUUUCAAGUAUCUGGUAGAGUAAAGCAUCCUGAACCUACUUACUGGAUCGGACAAAAAAAGGUAUAGUUAGUCCUAUAACUUUUUCUUAAACGAUCUUAGGUUCUUGGGUUAGCACCUAACAAAAUUAUCGAUAUCUUCUUUAAUAUUUGAUAUCAUCAUCAGAUUAUAAGUUUCUUCAUAUGGCGGUAGGAGUUCUAAGUUCUUAAGGACUUACAUCCAUCAGGUCAUGGCUCUACCGAAUGUUCAUGUCAACUCAAAGUCAACCCUGGAAAGCUCGACUUCAGUAAAGCGAACAGUCAGCAACAUAUUCAGUUACGUUCAGUAGAACCACAGAGACAUCAGAUGUUUGUUCUUCUUACACAGAACUAUCUGACAUGGUCUUCUCAGAGCCACGAUGUCAGGAGCCCAAUUGCGAUCAUUUUUCAUUUAAUAAUUAGGCUAUCCAAAACUAUAUAUAAUAUGGCCUGAAAUUAUGAUGCAUUCCAAAGCCAAGUAGGAAAAGAACAAACUGUAUUCAUAGGCCGGCUGUUUAUUCUACAUUUAUUUGUUUGUAGGUUACUGGGUUUACUCAAAUUUCUGCAACAAAUUGGAAUGCACUGUACACCGCCAAUCUGCACAGGAACUUACAUGAAUCAGUACUGGAUCAUCAUAUUCAAAAAAAUUACUAAAUCCAAAACAAUCGACAGAUUAAUAUAUGUCAGAAGCAAGCUGAAAAAUAUAUAUCCAAAGCUAAAUCAAUUAAAAAAACCGUCCAUGUGAAGCUUGGAACUUGUAGACAAAAUCAUGGAUGGAAAAAAGAAGUUCAGAAGCAGAGACUCAGGCCAGUUUGCUCUCUUUUGUUUUUGUCCUCUUUGUUAUAUUGUUUACAUCGUGUUCCUUCUUUGUCUCAACUCUCAAGCAAUGCUUGACCAGUUCAACAGAAGCAAAAGCUUUGAAAUGUUUUAACUCAAAGCAUGGCGAGGAAAAUAAUGAAGUUCCAACGUGGGAUUAUUUUAAAUUCCAGGAGAAGAAACAAAAAGCAUUUCAGACGGCCCCAAAACUGGAAAUUCUGCAAUAAAAAUUAUAUAAACAAUUUCAGACUGCCCCAAAACUAAAGCAUGAAUGUGCCGGCAGUGAUCCUGUUAAUCUACAAGCUAGCAUAUAUAUAUUGAAAGAUCACCUGAAUGGGAUUUCAAACAGAAAAGAAGAGGAAAAACGACUUACCAUUUUUCCUUUUCCUCCAUGAAGCAAAUGAACCUCUCAGCAACAAUGGCUCUUGUUUCUUUGUUCUAUCUUCUUCUUUUGCUCAACUCCAUCUCUCACAUUACUCAAG